AUUGACCGCUGGCGGCAUGCCUUACACAUGCAAGUCGAACGGCAGCACGGGAGCAAUCCUGGUGGCGAGUGGCGAACGGGUGAGUAAUAUAUCGGAACGUGCCCAGUCGUGGGGAUAACGUAGCGAAAGCUACGCUAAUACCGCAUACGAUCUAUGGAUGAAAGCGGGGGAUCGCAAGACCUCGCGCGAUUGGAGCGGCCGAUAUCAGAUUAGGUAGUUGGUGAGGUAAAGGCUCACCAAGCCGACGAUCUGUAGCUGGUCUGAGAGGACGACCAGCCACACUGGGACUGAGACACGGCCCAGACUCCUACGGGAGGCAGCAGUGGGGAAUUUUGGACAAUGGGCGCAAGCCUGAUCCAGCAAUGCCGCGUGCAGGAUGAAGGCCUUCGG
This 390-nucleotide ribosomal RNA is filed under the name uncultured bacterium. RNAcentral describes it as "bacterial SSU rRNA". It matches the Rfam family "Bacterial small subunit ribosomal RNA", at positions 30 to 421 of the family's 1533-position model. The record is from RNAcentral.